AAUCAACGCUGGCGGCGUGCCUAACACAUGCAAGUCGAACGAGAAAGCAGGGGCAACUCUGUGAGUAAAGUGGCGACCGGGUGAGUAACACGUAGCUAACCUACCCUCGAGCGGGGGAUAACCUGGGGAAACCUGGGCUAAUACCGCAUAACAUCCCGAUGUCCAUGACAAUGGGAGCAAAGGCCCGCAAGGGUCACUGGAGGAGGGGGCUGCGGCCGAUUAGCUAGUUGGUGAGGUAAUGGCUCACCAAGGCAAUGAUCGGUAGCCGGC
This 270-nucleotide ribosomal RNA is filed under the name uncultured bacterium. Its description in RNAcentral is "partial 16S ribosomal RNA". It matches the Rfam family "Bacterial small subunit ribosomal RNA", at positions 32 to 291 of the family's 1533-position model. The record is from RNAcentral.